AGCGAACGCUGGCGGCAGGCCUAACACAUGCAAGUCGAACGAACCUUUCGGUGUUAGUGGCGGACGGGUGAGUAACACGUGGGAACGUGCCUUUAGGUUCGGAAUAACUCAGGGAAACUUGUGCUAAUACCGAAUGUGCCCUUCGGGGGAAAGAUUAAUCGCCUUUAGAGCGGCCCGCGUCUGAUUAGCUAGUUGGUUGAGGUAAUGGCUCACCAAGGCGACGAUCAGUAGCUGGUCUGAGAGGAUGAGCAGCCACAUUGGGACUGAGACACGGCCCAAACUCCUACGGGAGGCAGCAGUGGGGAAUCUUGCGCAAUGGGCGAAAGCCUGACGCAGCCAUGCCGCGUGAAUGAUGAAGGUCUUAGGAUUGUAAAAUUCUUUCACCGGGGACGAUAAUGACGGUACCCGGAGAAGAAGCCCCGGCUAACUUCGUG
RNAcentral lists this ribosomal RNA (434 nucleotides) under uncultured bacterium. RNAcentral describes it as "partial 16S ribosomal RNA". It matches the Rfam family "Bacterial small subunit ribosomal RNA", at positions 29 to 507 of the family's 1533-position model. The record is from RNAcentral.